This 484-nucleotide ribosomal RNA is filed under the name uncultured bacterium. Its description in RNAcentral is "partial 16S ribosomal RNA". It matches the Rfam family "Bacterial small subunit ribosomal RNA", at positions 28 to 507 of the family's 1533-position model. The record is from RNAcentral.
AUUGAACGCUGGCGGCAUGCUUUACACAUGCAAGUCGAACGGCAGCGCGGGCUUCGGCCUGGCGGCGAGUGGCGAACGGGUGAGUAAUGGAUCGGGACGGGCCCAGUAGUGGGGGAUAGCCCGGCGAAAGCCGGAUUAAUACCGCAUACGACCUGAGGGUGCACGCGGGGGACCGAAAGGCUUCGCGCUACUGGAGCGGCCGGUGUCGGCUUAGCUAGGCGGUGGGGUAUAGGCUUUCCAAGGCGACGAUCCGUAGCUGGUCUGAGAGGACGACCCGCCCUAGUGGGAGUGGAGAACCGGCCAGACUGCGACUGGGGGCCGGCGUUGGGAAAUUUGGAAAAUAGGGGCAACCCUGAUCCAGCCAUGCCGCGUGCGGGAAGAAGGCAUUCGGGUUGUAAACCGCUUUUGUUCGGGAAGAAAUCCUCUGGGCUAAUACCACGAGGGGAUGACGGUACCGGAAGAAUAAGCACCGGCUAACUACGUG